AUAUUUAUCACACUAGAAUCGAAUAUCCUAAGCUUUAAUUUAAUAUAGAAUUAUUUGUUUAUUUUAUAGAUCUGCUUUAGAUUUG
RNAcentral lists this transfer RNA (85 nucleotides) under Blattabacterium sp. (Nauphoeta cinerea). Its description in RNAcentral is "tRNA-Ser". Lineage: Bacteria; Pseudomonadati; Bacteroidota; Flavobacteriia; Flavobacteriales; Blattabacteriaceae. The record is from RNAcentral.